Non-coding RNA from Camellia sinensis, 1146 nucleotides. The record is from RefSeq and is a predicted model, not a curated record. Lineage: Eukaryota; Viridiplantae; Streptophyta; Magnoliopsida; Ericales; Theaceae.
CCAUUCCCCCUCCCCCCCAAAACCCAAAAUCCCCAAUUUGUUCAGUCUUUGAUGGGGCAACCAGGCAAAGAAAAGAGAGAGAGAGAGAGAGAGAGAAAAGAUCAUCGAUCUCGUGGAUCAUCGAUCUCGUCUCCUUCCCGCCCUCUCUCUCUCUCUCUCUUAUUCAUCCUCUUCAAACCCUAAUUUCUGCCUCCGAUCCACCUCUCGUCGUUCAAUCUUCCACCCCUUGUUUCUCGUUGUGUUUGGGAAUCUAGGAUUUUUUUUCUGUGAAACCCUAAGAAUUAAUUGAAGAGGAAGGGAGGGAGGGAGAGAGAGAGGUUUGAUGGCGCAAAAUGGGCAGGGGAUGGACCCUGCCGUUCUUGAUGACAUCAUUAAUCGGCUUUUGGAGUUUCGGCAGGUGAGGAGUGUACGCCAGGUCCAGGUCCAGCUCUCCAAGGCUGAGAUCCAUCAGCUUUGCACCGUUUCGAGAGAAAUCUUCCUCCAACAACCCAAUCUCUUAGAGCUCGAAGCCCCCAUCAAGAUCUGCGGAUUUAAAGGAGUUGUGGAUAACGUUGGGGACAAGUUGUGGAUAAGCCCUACUGGCAAAUGCUACUUCCUUUUUCCUAUGCCAUUGUAUCUGGUGCUGUAGGAUCAUGCUCGGUGUUGUUUGCAAAAUCCCUGUUGUGGGUUUCAAACAAAGCAGAGAUACAGAUUUGGGUGGUUCAGCAUGAAGCUCAAGUUGGUGGGAGGUGACUCUGCUGGUGUUGUGACAGCUUAUUAUGAGGCACCAGCUUUGGUUUGAUCCCACUGAGGACUUUCACUCCUAUUCUAUCCUCUGGAAUUCUCACCAGAUUCUCAUUUAAUAAGUUCACAGGGCAGCCGUACCUCAUUCAGACCAACGUUUACAAGAAUGGAACUGGAAACCGAGAGAUGAGGCACCAGCUUUGGUUUGAUCCCACUGAGGACUUUCACUCCUAUUCUAUCCUCUGGAAUUCUCACCAGAUUCUUUUCGUAGAUCUUGCUGGGUUCAAAGCAUGGAAACAACAUUUCCAUACAUGGUGGAUGGUACUCGUGCACACACACGCCUUUCCCACUCCCACCAGACAUGAAAAAAUUCCCCAGGUAUAUUACAAUAAGAGUUUAUUACACUAUUUUGGACUACAUUGA